UUGCGAGAUGCAGAUUAUACAACAAACCGCAACAAUGCACUGGAUCCAUCAUCCAUCUAUCAGAAGAUCCUCGAGACUCGUGAAAUGAGGAAUAUAUGUUAAAAUGGCCAGUGCAAUAUAAGCAGCGGUCAUCCAGAUAUAUGAAUAGGUUUCUAGAAAUGCACUGGGAAUGCUCCACAACAGGUUCCGGUAAAACAAUCAUUUUCUGGAAUAAAUCACCUGGUAUUGACGAAUGCUCGGAAGUACCGUUUGAAGAAUGUUUUUGCUAGCUGGAUAGUUAUUCAAUAAAUAAAACUUCUAUUCAAUGCUGA
This is a long non-coding RNA of Armigeres subalbatus, 311 nucleotides long. RefSeq lists it as uncharacterized. NCBI's taxonomy places the organism in Eukaryota, Metazoa, Arthropoda, Insecta, Diptera, Culicidae. The record is from RefSeq and is a predicted model, not a curated record. The transcript is spliced from 2 exons.